This 836-nucleotide long non-coding RNA is filed under the name Solanum tuberosum (potato). RNAcentral's name for it is "long non-coding RNA (STUB_LNC010706)". The record is from RNAcentral. Lineage: Eukaryota; Viridiplantae; Streptophyta; Magnoliopsida; Solanales; Solanaceae.
GAAUCUGUGCAGCCUAAUGUUGGGCAUUUGGAUGAGUCUGGGCCGAUACACAGCUGGUUAGUUCACCAUUUAUGCUCUCUACGGAUUUAUUCGCACCCAAAUAAUUUCUUUGUUAUUUUUGAAUAUCAUGUUUAAGGAAUUUUACCUUUAGAUUGUUCUGAGUCAUGCAUGCCAAACAGUUCAUUUUCUAAGAGUGGUUGUGCCUCAUCGACUUAUAAAAAACAUGACAUAUCUUUGUACGUGAGAGGAGAAAUGGUUCUCCCAUUACACACGACUCACUAGCCUAUAAUGCCGAUGAAUCUUUGGUCUGCAUCUUGUUCUUCUUGUCCAGUUCUUUCAGCCAAAUCUAAAACUACAAAUUGAGCAUUGAUAAUGAGUUUGUGUACUUGAGUAUCAGUUUGUGUGUGCGUAUUGGUGGAUGACAUUCAACUAGUUUAUACGACACGACAGAAAGAUAUAUGCCUCUUUGAUUAAUAUUUUUGGAGCUAUAAUAUAUGAUUUAUGUGCUGUAAUUGUAUUUUUAGGAUCUUGUUAUGGUGAUUUAUCAUCUUAUGACAUUGAUCAAUAUUGUGUGCUACUGCAAUUGACAUGAGAACACUUUGUGCAUGGAGAUGUCGACAGUGCUCUUGAUAGGCUCUGACAGAAAAAGAAAACUGAAGUUGGACAACAAUAAUGAGAAUCUUGUAUCAGCAGGAGUUGUUUGUUGGUGUUUAGUGACUUGUUAUGUUUUAAGUUUAAGCAUUAUUUUAGACGAAUGGAACUGUGUUUACAUUUUACUAUUUCGGUGUUGUAACUUGUUAAGAAUUUUUUUGGAGAUAGGGAACAAUUUUGAAUCA